This 240-nucleotide ribosomal RNA is filed under the name uncultured bacterium. RNAcentral's name for it is "partial 16S ribosomal RNA". It matches the Rfam family "Bacterial small subunit ribosomal RNA", at positions 524 to 763 of the family's 1533-position model. The record is from RNAcentral.
UACGUAGGGUGCGAGCGUUAAUCGGAAUUACUGGGCGUAAAGCGUGCGCAGGCGGUUUGCUAAGACCGAUGUGAAAUCCCCGGGCUCAACCUGGGAACUGCAUUGGUGACUGGCAGGCUAGAGUAUGGCAGAGGGGGGUAGAAUUCCACGUGUAGCAGUGAAAUGCGUAGAGAUGUGGAGGAAUACCGAUGGCGAAGGCAGCCCCCUGGGCCAAUACUGACGCUCAUGCACGAAAGCGUG